RNAcentral lists this long non-coding RNA (208 nucleotides) under Mytilus galloprovincialis (Mediterranean mussel). Lineage: Eukaryota; Metazoa; Mollusca; Bivalvia; Mytilida; Mytilidae. The record is from RNAcentral.
AGGAUACUUAACCCUUUCCCUUUCACACCGGUACAGCUUACCGGUGAAACCAAUUUCAAGAUUUUUUUUGGGACAUUUAGACAUGUUUAAUCGCCAUUUGCUGACGUACAGAUGUGGUUAAGGGCUCAAAUUAAUCCUCAGAUAACCAGCAAUGCGAUUUAAUGUGCAUCAAACCUCUAUCAUUAUUAGCUAAUAAACAAGUCGCCCC